RNAcentral lists this ribosomal RNA (465 nucleotides) under Vreelandella stevensii. RNAcentral's name for it is "partial 16S ribosomal RNA". It matches the Rfam family "Bacterial small subunit ribosomal RNA", at positions 338 to 795 of the family's 1533-position model. The record is from RNAcentral. Lineage: Bacteria; Pseudomonadati; Pseudomonadota; Gammaproteobacteria; Oceanospirillales; Halomonadaceae.
CCUACGUGAUGCUGCAGUGGGGAAUAUUGGACAAUGGGCGAAAGCCUGAUCCAGCCAUGCCGCGUGUGUGAAGAAGGCCUUCGGGUUGUACAGCACUUUCAGUGGGGAAGAAAGCCUUGGGGCUAAUACCCUCGAGGAAGGACAUCACCCACAGAAGAAGCACCGGCUAACUCCGUGCCAGCAGCCGCGGUAAUACGGAGGGUGCGAGCGUUAAUCGGAAUUACUGGGCGUAAAGCGCGCGUAGGCGGUCUGAUAAGCCGGUUGUGAAAGCCCCGGGCUCAACCUGGGAACGGCAUCCGGAACUGUCAGGCUAGAGUGCAGGAGAGGAAGGUAGAAUUCCCGGUGUAGCGGUGAAAUGCGUAGAGAUCGGGAGGAAUACCAGUGGCGAAGGCGGCCUUCUGGACUGACACUGACGCUGAGGUGCGAAAGCGUGGGUAGCAAACAGGAUUAGAUACCCCUGUAGUC